Molecule: ribosomal RNA, 253 nt
Filed under: uncultured bacterium
Lineage: Bacteria
Description: partial 16S ribosomal RNA
Rfam family: Bacterial small subunit ribosomal RNA
Source: RNAcentral
UACGUAGGGUGCGAGCGUUAAUCGGAAUUACUGGGCGUAAAGCGUGCGCAGGCGGUUCGCUAAGACCGAUGUGAAAUCCCCGGGCUUAACCUGGGAACUGCAUUGGUGACUGGCGGGCUAGAGUAUGGCAGAGGUGGGUAGAAUUCCACGUGUAGCAGUGAAAUGCGUAGAGAUGUGGAGGAAUACCGAUGGCGAAGGCAGCCUCCUGGGCAAAUACUGACGCUCAUGCACGAAAGCGUGGGGAGCAAACAGG